Molecule: ribosomal RNA, 720 nt
Filed under: uncultured archaeon
Lineage: Archaea
Description: bacterial SSU rRNA
Rfam family: Archaeal small subunit ribosomal RNA
Source: RNAcentral
GGCUAAAUCUAGAUAGGUGAAGAACUCUGGAAUGAGUCUUUGCCUAAAUAGGUUCACGUUAUCCUCGUGAACUUGCCCAAGGAUGAGGCCGCGACCGAUCAGGUUGUUGGCGAGGUAAUGGCUCACCAAGCCUUUUACCGGUGCGGGCCGUGGGAGCGGGAGCCCGGAGAUGGGUACUGAGACAAGGACCCAGGCCCUACGGGGCGCAGCAGUCGCGAAACCUUUGCAAUACACGAAAGUGUGACAGGGCUAUCCCGAGUGCCAUCCGCUGAGGAAGGCUUUUACCCAGUCUAGAACGCUGGGGGAAUAAGGAGAGGGCAAGUCUGGUGUCAGCCGCCGCGGUAAUACCAGCUCUCCGAGUGGUGUGGAUGUUUAUUGGGCCUAAAGCAUCCGUAGCUGGCUAGGUAAGUCCCUUGUUAAAUCCACCGAAUUAAUCGUUGGAUCGCGGGGGAUACUGCUUGGCUAGGGGACGAGAGAGGCAGACGGUAUUCUCGGGGUAGGGGUGAAAUCCUAUAAUCCCGGGAAGACCACCAGUGGCGAAGGCUGUCUGCUAGAACGCGCCCGACGGUGAGGGAUGAAAGCUGGGGGAGCGAACCGGAUUAGAUACCCGGGUAGUCCCAGCUGUAAACGAUGCAGACUAGGUGUUUGGACGGCCACGUGCCGUUCUAGUGCCGCAGGGAAGCUGUUAAGUCUGCCGCCUGGGGAGUACGAUCGCAAGAU